Molecule: ribosomal RNA, 1367 nt
Filed under: Pediococcus acidilactici
Lineage: Bacteria; Bacillati; Bacillota; Bacilli; Lactobacillales; Lactobacillaceae
Description: 16S ribosomal RNA
Rfam family: Bacterial small subunit ribosomal RNA
Source: RNAcentral
GAGUGGCGGACGGGUGAGUAACACGUGGGUAACCUGCCCAGAAGCAGGGGAUAACACCUGGAAACAGAUGCUAAUACCGUAUAACAGAGAAAACCGCCUGGUUUUCUUUUAAAAGAUGGCUCUGCUAUCACUUCUGGAUGGACCCGCGGCGCAUUAGCUAGUUGGUGAGGUAACGGCUCACCAAGGCGAUGAUGCGUAGCCGACCUGAGAGGGUAAUCGGCCACAUUGGGACUGAGACACGGCCCAGACUCCUACGGGAGGCAGCAGUAGGGAAUCUUCCACAAUGGACGCAAGUCUGAUGGAGCAACGCCGCGUGAGUGAAGAAGGGUUUCGGCUCGUAAAGCUCUGUUGUUAAAGAAGAACGUGGGUGAGAGUAACUGUUCACCCAGUGACGGUAUUUAACCAGAAAGCCACGGCUAACUACGUGCCAGCAGCCGCGGUAAUACGUAGGUGGCAAGCGUUAUCCGGAUUUAUUGGGCGUAAAGCGAGCGCAGGCGGUCUUUUAAGUCUAAUGUGAAAGCCUUCGGCUCAACCGAAGAAGUGCAUUGGAAACUGGGAGACUUGAGUGCAGAAGAGGACAGUGGAACUCCAUGUGUAGCGGUGAAAUGCGUAGAUAUAUGGAAGAACACCAGUGGCGAAGGCGGCUGUCUGGUCUGUAACUGACGCUGAGGCUCGAAAGCAUGGGUAGCGAACAGGAUUAGAUACCCUGGUAGUCCAUGCCGUAAACGAUGAUUACUAAGUGUUGGAGGGUUUCCGCCCUUCAGUGCUGCAGCUAACGCAUUAAGUAAUCCGCCUGGGGAGUACGACCGCAAGGUUGAAACUCAAAAGAAUUGACGGGGGCCCGCACAAGCGGUGGAGCAUGUGGUUUAAUUCGAAGCUACGCGAAGAACCUUACCAGGUCUUGACAUCUUCUGCCAACCUAAGAGAUUAGGCGUUCCCUUCGGGGACAGAAUGACAGGUGGUGCAUGGUUGUCGUCAGCUCGUGUCGUGAGAUGUUGGGUUAAGUCCCGCAACGAGCGCAACCCUUAUUACUAGUUGCCAGCAUUCAGUUGGGCACUCUAGUGAGACUGCCGGUGACAAACCGGAGGAAGGUGGGGACGACGUCAAAUCAUCAUGCCCCUUAUGACCUGGGCUACACACGUGCUACAAUGGAUGGUACAACGAGUUGCGAAACCGCGAGGUUUAGCUAAUCUCUUAAAACCAUUCUCAGUUCGGACUGUAGGCUGCAACUCGCCUACACGAAGUCGGAAUCGCUAGUAAUCGCGGAUCAGCAUGCCGCGGUGAAUACGUUCCCGGGCCUUGUACACACCGCCCGUCACACCAUGAGAGUUUGUAACACCCAAAGCCGGUGGGGUAACCUUUUAGGA